This 489-nucleotide ribosomal RNA is filed under the name uncultured bacterium. Its description in RNAcentral is "partial 16S ribosomal RNA". It matches the Rfam family "Bacterial small subunit ribosomal RNA", at positions 29 to 506 of the family's 1533-position model. The record is from RNAcentral.
AUUGAACGCUGGCGGCAGGCCUAACACAUGCAAGUCGAACGGUAACAGGAAGACGCUUGCUUCUUUGCUGACGAGUGGCGGACGGGUGAGUAAUGUCUGGGAAACUGCCUGAUGGAGGGGGAUAACUACUGGAAACGGUAGCUAAUACCGCAUAACGUCGCAAGACCAAAGAGGGGGACCUUCGGGCCUCUUGCCAUCGGAUGUGCCCAGAUGGGAUUAGCUAGUAGGUGGGGUAACGGCUCACCUAUGCGACGAUCCCUAGCUGGUCUGAGAGGGUGACCAGACACACAGGAACUGAGACACGGCCCAAACCCUCAGGGGGGGGAGGAGUGGGGAAAAUUGCAAAAGGGGCGCAAGCCUGAGGAAGCCAUGCCGGGGGUAUGAAGAAGGCCUUGGGGUUGGAAAGUCAUUUAAGGGGGGAGGAAGGGAGAAAAUUAAAAACCUUGCCCCAUUGACGUUCCCCGAAGAAGAAGAACCGGAUAACUCCGU